Molecule: RNA transcript, 3263 nt
Organism: Ricinus communis (castor bean)
Lineage: Eukaryota; Viridiplantae; Streptophyta; Magnoliopsida; Malpighiales; Euphorbiaceae
Gene name: CMP-sialic acid transporter 4
Exons: 18
Source: RefSeq, a predicted model, not a curated record
UCGCGUCGUGGAAAGCACAAUCUGAGAAAGACGCGCUGGUUGAGUUAGUAAGUAAUAAUACCUCGCUCGCUCGCUCUCACUUUUGAGUUCACAUUCGGUUCUUAGCUAAAAAAGAAAUUCGAUUUCUUCUCAAAUCUAAUCUUCUAAUUGCAAAUUAAAUUGAUUGAAAUUAUGGCCUUCAACCAUUUUGAUUCUUGAUUCAGCUCACAACAAACCAUGAUAAGCGAAAGUUAAGAUGGAAGCAAGAUUUACAAGUUGAAAGAGAUUUAAGGAAGAUAAAUGUUGGGUCUUGCUUCGCUCAUUAUCAAUUGAGAGUGAGUGAGAGAUCUAAGUGUGAAUUUUGUUAAUUUGCAAAUGGAGUACAGGAAAAUCAAGGACGAGGAUAAAGAUGAGGGUGCUACUGGUGAUGACAUAGAAAGCUUAAGAAACAAAUCUCUUUCAGGUGUUGCUGCAAGUAAUGUGGCUGCAUUGGGAGGUGGCUCAAAUGACCGAUCCAAGUGGAAGCGCAAGAGCAUCGUUACCCUUGCAUUGACUUUUCUCACAAGUUCACAAGCAAUACUUAUUGUUUGGUCCAAGAGAGCUGGCAGAUACGAGUACAGUGUUACUACUGCAAAUUUCUUGGUGGAAACUCUGAAAUGUGUGCUGUCACUUGCAGCCUUAGCAAGAAUCUGGAAAAAUGAAGGUGUCACUGAAGAUAACAGGUUGAGUACGACUUUGGAUGAAGUUAGUGUCUAUCCCAUUCCAGCGGCACUUUACCUUGUCAAGAAUUUGCUUCAGUAUUAUAUCUUUGCCUAUGUGGAUGCUCCUGGUUAUCAGAUACUGAAGAACCUUAAUAUCAUUAGCACUGGUGUUUUGUAUCAAAUGAUACUUAAGAGAAAGUUAAGUGAGAUUCAAUGGGCAGCUUUCAUUCUAUUAUGUGCUGGAUGCACCACAGCACAAUUAAACCCUUCUUCUGAUCAUGUUCUUCAAACACCUUAUCAGGGUUGGAUAAUGGCCAUUGUAAUGGCACUUCUAAGUGGGUUUGCUGGUGUUUACACUGAGGCUAUAAUUAAAAAGCGCCCCUCAAGAAACAUUAAUGUGCAAAACUUCUGGUUGUAUGUCUUUGGGAUGAUCUUCAAUGCUGUUGCCAUUGUAAUUCAAGAUUUUGAUGCAGUCAUGAACAAGGGGUUCUUCCAUGGAUACUCAUUAAUCACAGUUCUCAUGAUUCUCAAUCAUGCACUCAGUGGCAUUGCUGUAUCCAUGGUGAUGAAGUAUGCAGACAAUAUCGUAAAGGUUUAUGCUACUUCAGUAGCAAUGCUUCUCACCGCAGUCGUCUCCGUUUUUCUUUUUGGUUUUCAUCUCUCCCUUGCUUUCUUCCUCGGCUCAACUGUUGUCUCUGUCUCAGUAUAUCUACACUCUAUUGGGAAGCUAACAAGACAACUGUAACAAUUUUUUUGGUGUGAUCUCUGCCAAAUCCAAUGUCUGAUGGUUGUGGGAAGGAUGGAUUGAUCAGUUUCAACAUUUUGAGACAGGUGAGUCCUAGUCCUAUGGAGAUUGACACUAGUUUUACAGACAAGGGUCAUAUGAAUAAGAUAGAGUUUGGCAUGCAGAUGGCCAGGCAUAUCAUUCUUAAGGCUGCAAAAGCAAUGUGGUUGUAUCUCCACUGUCACUCCAUGCCAUGUUGAAUAUGGUCGCUUCUGGCUCCAAGGGACGUACUCUGGAGCAAUUGCUUAGCUUUCUUGAAUCUGAUGGCAUUACCCACCUCACUGCUCAGUCUUCUCAGAUUAUGGAUCUUACAACUACUAUCCAAGAAUUUCUUGAGUCUGAAAAUGUUGAUGAUCUCAAUACUCAAUCUCUGCAAGCCAGAAGCAAUCCUUCUUUCCUUAAUGCGCUUGGAGGAUCCUUUCCAAGUAUUAACCGAGAAGAUUCCAUUCAUGGUCAUCAGAUUAUUGGACCAUUUGCAAACACAUUCGUAGCACCUGUUGUUAGAAUAAUAGUUGAUUUCUAUGUUUAAUUUUGAAUAAUUCAGUUAUAAUCUAAGUCAAAGUUAUCCUAGUUUUAGGAGUUUAGUUACAGAUAAUGUUUUAGUUUACGGUCCUAUUAUUAUGCUAUUUCUGUUAUGUAUUUGCCUAUUUAAUGGCUUUAAGUUUAGUGAAUAAAUGGGUAGAAAUAGAUUUUUCUUUCUCUUAAAUUUUCUGUCUUUUCUUACCUGUAGUUGGCAGUGGUAUUAGAGCCUGCAAAAAUGGCUUCUGAAAAAUAAUUUAUUGAGUGCUGGUCAGUUACAAGAAACGGGAUAUGUUAUCACUAUUAAAGAUGGUGCUUGUGAAAUUUAUGAUCCUGUUAGAUGUGCUAUUGCAGUUGUUUAUAUGAGUUCAAAUAGAUUGUUUCCUUUAGAAAUUGAGAAUAUUCAGUCUUGUUUGAUGGCUGAAAUAAAAGAUCCCUCAUGGUUAUGGCAUUUUUGUUAUGGCCACUUGAGUUUUGGUGGAUUAAUGACUCUACAACAAAAGAAUAUGGUGACUGGUCUUCCUUAAAUUAUAAAUCCUUCCCAAGUUUGUAAAGAAUGUAUUGUUGGCAAACAACAUCUUUCUCAAUUUCCAAAAGGGAAGUCAUGUAGAGCAAAGGAAGUCUUGGAACUGGUGCAUUCAAAUAUUUGCAAACUAAUAAAUCCAUCUUCGAAUGGAGGUAAAAGCUACUUAACUUCACUGACAAUUUUUCAAGAAAAACUUGGGUCUAUUUUUUGCAAGAAAAAUCAGAAGCUUUCUCUACAUUUAAAAGCUUCAAAGCCCAUAUUGAAAAUGAAGCAAGCAAAACCAUCAAAUCACUUCGUACAUAUCGUGGUGGUGAAUAUUGCUCAAAUGGAUUUGAAGUUUUUUGUGCAAAGCAUGGCAUUCGGAGAGAGCUUACAGUUGCCUAUACACCAUAACAAAAUGGUAAUUCAUAAAGGAAAAACAGAACCAUUCUAAAUAGGGUGAGAAGCUUGUUGGCAAGAGGAGCAGUUCCAAAGACUUUUUGGCCGGAAGCAGUUAACUGGAGCAUUCAUAUUUUAAACAGAAGUCCAACUUUUGCUGUUAAAAAUAUGACUCCAUAAGAGGCUUGGAGUGGAAGAAGACCAGCUAUAGAUCAUUUCCGAAUCUUCGAAUGCACUGCAUAUGUUCAUGUUCCAAAUGUAAAAAGGAAGAAACUUGAUGACAAGACUGAAAAAUGUGUCUUUCUUGGUGUAAGUGAAGCAUCUAAAGCAUUUAAAUUGUUCAAUUCAUUGAUAAAAAAUAUAGUGAUCAGCAGCA